UACGUAGGGGGCAAGCGUUGUCCGGAAUCAUUGGGCGUAAAGAGCGUGUAGGCGGCCCGGUAAGUCCGCUGUGAAAGUCCAGGGCUCAACCCUGGAAUGCCGGUGGAAACUGUCGGGCUAGAGUCCGGAAGAGGCGAGUGGAAUUCCUGGUGUAGCGGUGAAAUGCGCAGAUAUCAGGAGGAACACCGAUGGCGAAGGCAGGUCUCUGGGCCGAUACUGACGCUGAGGAGCGAAAGCGUGGGGAGCGAACAGG
RNAcentral lists this ribosomal RNA (253 nucleotides) under uncultured bacterium. Its description in RNAcentral is "partial 16S ribosomal RNA". It matches the Rfam family "Bacterial small subunit ribosomal RNA", at positions 524 to 776 of the family's 1533-position model. The record is from RNAcentral.